Long non-coding RNA from Leucoraja erinaceus (little skate), 2549 nucleotides. RefSeq lists it as uncharacterized. The record is from RefSeq and is a predicted model, not a curated record. Lineage: Eukaryota; Metazoa; Chordata; Chondrichthyes; Rajiformes; Rajidae. The transcript has 3 exons.
AAUCUAGACAUUCAUACGGCAGUCAAGUAUUUCUGGGACCAUCAGUGCCAUUUGGCACCGAAGGAUGGGAGAGUCGACAUUGGUGGGAAUGUUCAAGUAUUACCUCACAUUAUUACAUCAAACGUCGAACAUGACUCGGUGCACCUGGUGGUAGAAAAUCUGGUCAAGGAGGGAAAAGCAAAAGCUACAUUUUUGCCUGUUUCCAAAGUAACUGGAUGCAUUCAAAUUGAUGAUGUAACAAAGCUGCUAUUGGGCCAAGCACCUGCCUUAUUUUUAUGCUAAUAAUGAAACAAGACUUCUCAUGCCGAUUGCAGAGAUGUAUCAGCGAGUGAAGAUUGUAAAUCACCAGAGAGGCAAGCAAACAUCCAAGAUUCUGCUACAUACAGACGUCGCCCAGGCACUUGGCAAACUGCAAGUUGAUGUGCAGGAUCUUGGUGUGGAUUACUUUACCGUUGUGGGACACAAGGUAAAACAUCCCCCUUGUAGACAUGUUGACAUUUUUUUAAAUUGCUGAUGCCUGAAAUCUGAAACAAAACUAGAAAAUAUUGAAUACUCAGUAGGCCAAGCUGAAUGGGAAGAGAAACAGUCAUCAUACCUUUCUUCCUCUCCUGAUAAUGCCUUUUUUGUGCAAUCUCACCCUCGAUGUCCAACACAGAGCAUCGCCAAGAAUCAAAUGAAUUCUCAACAAACAAAAAUCUUUGGAUCAUACAGGCAUGGAGAACUUUCAAAUACAUGUUGUACACUUUGUAAAAUCACUGCCUUGGCAUGUUUCUCUCAAACCUAAAAACUUAUUCAAUCUUCAACGUACAGUCUUUGUGCACAAUUUAAUUUUAGGAACUACUUUGACUAUUCUGAUUAUUUUACCUAUAAUAAGGAGGCAACUCUGAUCAACAGCAAUAAUUUAACAUAGAAAGGUGUCACAAAACACUUGAGUUCUAUUGCAGGGAACAGAAGAUAUUAGGAAGGGUGAUAUAAAAGUCUGGUUGAAGAAGGGAGUUUUUAUCUAAAGCUCAAAAGCUCAAAAUACAAGUUUUUCUGCUUUCUCCAAAGAGCAGACAGCUUGUGGUUUCUGUUUUAAUUUUAUGGUUCACUGAAUUAGAAAGCUGUCAGGAAUACAUAUACACACAAUGAGUGCUGUAUGAAAAUUAGAAAAUAUCAAAUUCUUCAGUCUAGUUUGUCUGUACCUUUUUUGUCAGACACAGAAAUGCAUAAAUUCAUAUUCCAAUCCUGCUUCAUUUAAUUUCUCCAUUGAUGUCAAUUAAAAAGAUAACCUGAAGAGCGCUGUUAUUGUUUUCCUUUCCAGGCCAAUUCAUGACUGUACACGUUCAUACCAACAUGUGAGAAAGUUAAUAGCUCUUCCAGUUUACUACGCCUAACUUAGAAUGCUCAUCACUUCACUGGAAAUUGGUUUAGAAUAUAUUAUCUUUGGUGUUAUGGUUGGUAUGACAUGGAACCUGCAUGGCAUGAUUUGUUUGGAAACCAUCCAAACAAAACAUUUCAUUAUAUUAAGGUACAUGUGACAGUAGUAUAUCAGAACCAAACACACAAAUCAUAUUUCUAUAUAUUUUCAGCACAGAGAACACUCCAAUGGUUGCAGGUCUCAAGAAGGUAAAUUACGCUUUAAAGCAUGCCUUUUGUUACUAAUGUUGAGCAAGUUAUAUCCUAGACAUGGCAAGCGUAAUUAAACCUUACUUCACUUUGAAUCUGUGAUGGAGCAAUAGUCUUUACUGCUGUUAUCUGUGCACCAGUUCACAUACAAAUUCAAAGACAGAUGAAUCAAGCCUUUCAUUCUUCUCUUCAAACUCAGACCAUGCAAUUGAACAUUGACAUUGACUAAAUAUGAGUGAGCUCCUGUGUGCAUUAUGAUGUAUAUUUCUGAUCAACAACAUUGUUAAAAAACACAUACAGAGAAGGGGAUAGAGGAAGCUCAAAGAUUCUAUCUAAUGAACAUCGAAAGUAGGUGAUUCAGGUUUGAGUUUACGAUGGGUGUUGUUCGGCAGCAGUAAUUUGUGCAAGACCUGAAUGAUCACAACUGACAUUUCUUUGAGUUAAACUAAACUUACGUUUAAUAAUAAAUGAACAAAUCCUCCAUGCACUGGGAACUGAAUGUGAAGGAAACUUGUUGAUAGCAGCAAAACAACUCGAGAGGAAGUAUAAACGGCGGGAGAAUAGAAGAGAAAGAAGCAGGUUAAAACAGGUUGUGAGUUAUGUUUACAACAGAGAUGUGAGUUAUGGUUACAACAGUUGCUGAAAAGCUGAAUGGACAGUGAUGUGAAAGCCCAGCAGCAACUUGCAUCGGGGUAUUGAAUAUUUAAAAAAAUUACAAAUGUUGCAAAUAUGAAACAACAAACAUUGGAGCAGGUCAGACAAUAAAUCAUGCAGAUCUUAUCAAUAAAUCAAUAAAUUAAAUAAUGCAGAUCUUAUGUCCUGACAUCAGCAUUUGUACCUGAACACACGGUAGAUCUGCAGAGUCUAAUAGGGAGGCACAAAUAUCCACAGAAUUUCCAGUUAUCAGACUGAGCUUGCGGUGGUAUUGGGAUAAAUCUGGU